GAAGACCUUACCCGAUUAGCUGAGAGGUGGUGCAUGGCCGGUCGUCAGUUCGUACUGUGAAGCAUCCUGUUAAGUCAGGCAACGAGCGAGACCCACGUCCACAGUUGCCAGCAUACCCUCCGGGGUGAUGGGUACACUGUGGAGACCGCCGCUGCUAAAGCGGAAGAAGGAGUGGGCAACGGUAGGUCAGUAUGCCCCGAAUCUCCCAGGCUACACGCGGGCUACAAUGGUUGGUACAAUGGGCAUCUACCCCGAAAGGGGAAGGAAAUCUCUUAAAGCCAAUCGUAGUUCGGAUUGAGGGCUGCAACUCGCCCUCAUGAAGCUGGAAUCCGUAGUAAUCGCGUUUCAACAGAACGCGGUGAAUACGUCCCUGCUCCUU
Molecule: ribosomal RNA, 379 nt
Filed under: uncultured Methanosaeta sp.
Lineage: Archaea; Methanobacteriati; Methanobacteriota; Methanomicrobia; Methanotrichales; Methanotrichaceae
Description: bacterial SSU rRNA
Rfam family: Archaeal small subunit ribosomal RNA
Source: RNAcentral